GGCAGACGGGUGAGUAAUGUAUAGGAAUCUACCUAGUAGUACGGAAUAAUUGUUGGAAACGGCAACUAAUACCGUAUACGCCCUACGGGGGAAAAAUUUAUUGCUAUUAGAUGAGCCUAUAUUAGAUUAGUUAGUUGGUGAGGUAAAGGCUUACCAAGACAAUGAUCUAUAGCUGAUCUGAGAGGAUGAUCAGCCACACUGGAACUGAGAUACGGUCCAGACUCCUACGGGAGGCAGCAGUGGGGAAUAUUGGACAAUGGGCGAAAGCCUGAUCCAGCCAUGCCGCAUGAGUGAAGAAGGCCUUCGGGUUGUAAAGCUCUUUUAGUGAGGAAGAUAAUGACGGUACUCACAGAAGAAGUCCUGGCUAACUCCGUGCCAGCAGCCGCGGUAAUACGGAGAGGGCUAGCGUUAUUCGGAAUCAUUGGGCGUAAAGGGCGCGUAGGCGGGUUAGUAAGUUAAAAGUGAAAUCCCAAGGCUCAACCUUGGAACUGCUUUUAAAACUGCUAGUCUAGAGAUUGAAAGAGGAUAGAGGAAUUCCUAGUGUAGAGAUGAAAUUCGUAAAUAUUAGGAGGAACACCAGUGGCGAAGGCGUCUAUCUGGUUCAAAUCUGACGCUGAGGCGCGAAGGCGUGGGGAGCAAACAGGAUUAGAUACCCUGGUAGUCCACGCUGUAAACGAUGAAUGUUAAAUAUGGGAAGUUUACUUUCUGUAUUAUAGCUAACGCGUUAAACAUUCCGCCUGGGGACUACGGUCGCAAGAUUAAAACUCAAAGGAAUUGACGGGGNCCCGCACAAGCGGUGGANCAUGUGGUUUAAUUCGAUGC
This 822-nucleotide ribosomal RNA is filed under the name uncultured Wolbachia sp. RNAcentral's name for it is "bacterial SSU rRNA". It matches the Rfam family "Bacterial small subunit ribosomal RNA", at positions 97 to 957 of the family's 1533-position model. Lineage: Bacteria; Pseudomonadati; Pseudomonadota; Alphaproteobacteria; Rickettsiales; Anaplasmataceae. The record is from RNAcentral.